Molecule: ribosomal RNA, 631 nt
Filed under: Escherichia coli
Lineage: Bacteria; Pseudomonadati; Pseudomonadota; Gammaproteobacteria; Enterobacterales; Enterobacteriaceae
Description: partial 23S ribosomal RNA
Rfam family: Bacterial large subunit ribosomal RNA
Source: RNAcentral
AUAAUGGGUCAGCGACUUAUAUUCUGUAGCAAGGUUAACCGAAUAGGGGAGCCGAAGGGAAACCGAGUCUUAACUGGGCGUUAAGUUGCAGGGUAUAGACCCGAAACCCGGUGAUCUAGCCAUGGGCAGGUUGAAGGUUGGGUAACACUAACUGGAGGACCGAACCGACUAAUGUUGAAAAAUUAGCGGAUGACUUGUGGCUGGGGGUGAAAGGCCAAUCAAACCGGGAGAUAGCUGGUUCUCCCCGAAAGCUAUUUAGGUAGCGCCUCGUGAAUUCAUCUCCGGGGGUAGAGCACUGUUUCGGCAAGGGGGUCAUCCCGACUUACCAACCCGAUGCAAACUGCGAAUACCGGAGAAUGUUAUCACGGGAGACACACGGCGGGUGCUAACGUCCGUCGUGAAGAGGGAAACAACCCAGACCGCCAGCUAAGGUCCCAAAGUCAUGGUUAAGUGGGAAACGAUGUGGGAAGGCCCAGACAGCCAGGAUGUUGGCUUAGAAGCAGCCAUCAUUUAAAGAAAGCGUAAUAGCUCACUGGUCGAGUCGGCCUGCGCGGAAGAUGUAACGGGGCUAAACCAUGCACCGAAGCUGCGGCAGCGACGCUUAUGCGUUGUUGGGUAGGGGAGCGUUCUG